ACCAGUACCGUGAGGGAAAGGCGAAAAGAACCCCGGCGAGGGGAGUGAAAUAGAACCUGAAACCUUGUGCUUACAAGCAGUCGGAGCAGACUUGUUCUGUGACGGCGUACCUUUUGUAUAAUGGGUCAACGACUUAAUUUCAGUAGCAAGCUUAACCGUUAGGGUAGGCGUAGGGAAACCGAGUCUUAAUAGGGCGCUCAGUUGCUGGAAUUAGACCCGAAACCGGGUGAUCUAUCCAUGGCCAGGGUGAAGGUUAGGUAAAACUAACUGGAGGCCCGAACCCACUUAUGUUGAAAAAUGAGGGGAUGAGCUGUGGAUAGGAGUGAAAGGCUAAUCAAACCCGGAGAUAGCUGGUUCUCUCCGAAAUCUAUUUAGGUAGAGCGUCAUGU
Molecule: ribosomal RNA, 389 nt
Filed under: Alexandrium tamarense
Lineage: Eukaryota; Dinophyceae; Gonyaulacales; Pyrocystaceae
Description: partial Bacterial large subunit ribosomal RNA
Rfam family: Bacterial large subunit ribosomal RNA
Source: RNAcentral